GAAUCACAAAGCCAUCUGGUCACAAAAUACUAGGCUGCGGCUUGAGAUCCCGAUCUGGAAAUUGAAGAGUUGGAGCAGUGUGACUUGGUAAGAUGCCUAUCUGGAAGUUGAUGAGAGAAAAUCUGGGACAAAUACCGUGAUGGUUUCGUUAUGGAAGAAGGCGCUGAUGAACUGGCAAUGGAGAGCUUGGAAAGCACAUUGAACAGAGGAGCUUCAAAAUCUUUCUCCUUCACACGAUUGGAGCAACCCUAGAUCUUAAAGGAGAAAACGCCAGGAUCACCUAAUGAUCCAAAGGAAAUACUGUUUGUGACUUCAAAUGGUUGGUGAUCCUCUAAGAAAUGGUUGACUUCGAGGACGAGGAAUUGUUGCAUAUAUGGCUUGCAGUUUUUGUAGGAGUGAUUCGAACCCAAAAAUCCAUCUUGAAAAUUAGGAAUUAAUAUUCAGAGAAAUGGAAUUGGGGAUAUAUGGCUUGCAGUUGCUCGCAUGCAUAUAUUUGGACAUAUUUUUUUUUUUUUGGAUAUAUGGAAUUGGGGACUGAUGGGUUUAAUUGUAUUAUUAGUUAAACAUAUGUAAUAAAGUAAUGAGAUACUGACAUGUCA
Molecule: non-coding RNA, 599 nt
Organism: Prunus avium (sweet cherry)
Lineage: Eukaryota; Viridiplantae; Streptophyta; Magnoliopsida; Rosales; Rosaceae
Source: RefSeq, a predicted model, not a curated record